UACAGAGGUCUCAAGCGUUGUUCGGAUUCAUUGGGCGUAAAGGGUGUGUAGGCGGGCUGUUAAGUCAGUGGUGAAAUCUCCGGGCUCAACCCGGAAACUGCCAUUGAUACUAUCAGUCUUGAAUCUUGUUGAGGUAGGCGGAAUAUAUCAUGUAGCGGUGAAAUGCUUAGAUAUGAUAUAGAACACCGAUUGCGAAGGCAGCUUACUAAACAAGCAUUGACGCUGAGGCACGAAAGCGUGGGGAUCAAACAGG
Molecule: ribosomal RNA, 253 nt
Filed under: uncultured bacterium
Lineage: Bacteria
Description: partial 16S ribosomal RNA
Rfam family: Bacterial small subunit ribosomal RNA
Source: RNAcentral